CCGAAUUCAAAAUAGAAACGUAAAUAAUAAUUAGGCAUCCGAGUUCAGUAAUCCAUGAAUCUUCUUUUAUUAUUUAACAUUGAACAACGAAAUAGACAUGUCAUACCAAUGCAGCUGAGGCAAAUAGAAGCCAUGCUUGUUUCCAAUGUUGCUCAUCAGAUCUUUGUAAUACAUAUGGAUGUGGAGAAGGUAGGUUUUUUUUAUUCAAUACGCUCAGCAAAAACUUAAAAAUUUCCACCGAAUUGAUUUGAGAGACACAUAUUUGUUAUGUAUUCUUUCAAAUCCUUCACUAAAAGAACUAUGGUCAUGUUCCAAAUAAAAAAAAAGUGUCCACUAUAAACAACUACUAUAUGAUCAAAUUUCAAAUCGAUUGAUAUUAAAAUGGUUAUGAAGUUAUUCUUUCCUAAUUUAUCCCGCUUCGAAAAGAAUCAAUCAAUCACUAUCAUUGACCAUUUGUCAAGAGUUUUCGGUUAAUAAAAGCCUUUUUAUUAAGCAUUCAACCAUAAGUCCAUCUUCCGUUACACAUGCCUUACGUAUCAACAUGUCCACUAUAAACAACUACUAUAUGAUCAAAUUUCAAAUCGAUUGAUAUUAAAAUGGUUAAGUCCAUCUUCCGUUACACAUGCCUUACGUAUCAACAUACGGACUAGAUUAUUUCCACAAAGUACCGAUAUUAAGUUAAUAUUUGCAUUUCAAUUUCUCACUCUUAUAUUCUUUAAUGAUAGAUACAACGCAAUAUGAUGGACGUAUAUGUUAUAAUUGCCAAGGCGUAUUAACACCAGCCGAGUGCCAUACAGUAUCGUUUUGUGAUCCGUUUGAGGUAUAUAACAAGUCAAUAACACUUUGUUCCAAACAAUUUUUAAUGAUUGCUUUACAAAUCUUCAGUCGAAACAGCAUUGAAAGGUAGUAAGGGAUAUAUAAAUUCAAGUUCAAAUAUAUAUAUCAUCCAGACCAUGAGAGUAUUUGUACCAUAUGCGUAUGGUCAUGACAAUACAAUGUAUGCCUAUACUCAUAUGGUUAUUAAUCUGAGUGUAUCUGUCAUUUUAACGUGCCUCAAUGCCUCCAGCAGGUGUUUGGAAAACAGUGUUUCAAUGAUUGAACGUUUUCCAAAGUUGAUUUGUUCUUCGAAUAUUUUUAUCAAUAAGUUAUAUAAAUAAGAAAUAAGAAAUAUUUUUAUGGUACAAUGGAUCAAAAUCCCUUACAAAUUAUAUAUUUGCCAAAAUCGAAACAGGUGGCUAGCCACGGAAGCUGUGUUAUAACGACAUAAUCGUAGACGUUUUCUUUUUUGUACUAUAAUAGUCGUCAAAACGCUCAGGUUCAUUGUCUUAAUUGUCAGAGGAUAACAGAAAGCAUAUUUAUUAUAUCAAGCGAUUUAUCUAUAAUGAGUUUAUUCAUAUCAAAGGAUUCUAGAAAUAAUCACGAAUUUCUGCUGUCCGUGAAAAGUUAUAUUGAAUAAUCAUGAGUCAAAAUAAGGAACGAAAUUUAAAAACAAAAAAGUGUUACUAUGUCCACGACAAGAUGACUACACAAGAACACCAGUAAACAGUACAGCAUGUAAUCCUUUAGGGAAGAGAAUAUAACUUUUAAAAUCGAUAAAAACUUUUAAAAAUAUAAAUGUCCUCCAUUUCAGUUGUGUCGUUGCUAUAAGUAUUCUAAUACUGUUUUACAAAGGUAUUAAAUAUAUAGUUUUUCAUUUAAUGGUUAAAAAAAUAAAAAUAUAGUGAAUAAAGCUAUGCACAAUUAAAUAACUUGUGAUAGAUAUAAGUUGCCAUAUCAGUGACAUCAUAAAAAUUUUUUAAAUCUUUAUUUUUGUGGUUGUUUUUUUAAAUAGAUUUGCUAUAUGGAAGAAUUUUUUCACUUUGGAGAAGCAUUUUAUCACAGUGGCUGUAAAGAAAAACAUGUAAGUGAAUUACCUAUCGAAUAUAAGUUUAUGAUGUUAGGUAUCUAUCUUCCAAUACGGCAACUACAUGUACCAAAUUGAAAACAAUGUUUGAAAAUGGGAAUAAUAAAAGACAACCUGUCGGUACAAUACAACUGAAUAACAGAAAACUAAAACAGCCACAUGUAACACAAUAAUAUGUCAGGGAUAAACAUUUAAAAGCCCUUUCCAUUAACUGAUUUUCCCCUCAUAAUACAUUUUAUUAUUUUCGACCAAAUCUUCUAAAGAGAAUUAUAACUCUAAUAUACGCAAAGUUUUUUCUGAUGGUGUUUUAACACCCCAAAGUUCAUGCUUUGUAAAAAGUCCUUGUAUUUCGUAUUUAUUAAGAAGAAUUUGCUAGUCCUAAGACUUUUGUAUACGUGUCACUGUUGUGCGCAUCCCUUUUCAUUGUUAAUUUUUGUACUUAUUUUAUUUAAAUAUUAUAGGAUUUUUUCUAUAAGUUAUCGUUCAUAUCAUAUGAAGAUUUGGUAUCAAAAUAAAAGAAAGAUAGUGUAUAUUUCUGUUCGAUAUAACUUUGCUGCGGCAUAAACAGAGAGAAAAAUAAAACAUUCAUUUUAAAGCGUUUGCUUAGGGACUUUCCGUUUAUAAUUUUCUUCGGAGUUCGGUAUUGUUAUUAUUUUACUUUUCAAAUUAUAUUAAUUUUUAUAUUGUUAAACUCGUCCAUAUCGUCCACAUUACAUCGUCUACAUUGCAAAGUCUCCGAUUAACUAGUGGUAUAACUUACAAAAAAGUAGUGUUAGGACCAAUUAUUAAAAUAGAUAUAUUGUUAUUGUGAUCCUCGAUUAAGAAAUCAGUGACUCGCGAUGCUCUGAUGGUCUAUACAGUAGUGGUACUAAAGGGAGUGUGAUCAUCAAUUUCAUAAAGGUACUCUUCGGCACUUGCAAUUUUUAAAUAUUUGCUAGCUUUUAUUUAAAAUAAAAAAUAGUUACACAUUUAUUAAAACUCCUUCUCUUAUUUGCACUAAGCAUAACAAUUUGAUAAUGAUACAACAAGAACAGAAAACUAUAGUUCUGCCACAUUAUAACUAGUUUAUAUAUAAAUGUUUCCAUCUUAAAAAAAUUAUGGUUUCAAAUUCCCAUUUCAAUUUUUUAUGACGAUCUUGUUCUUUAAAUAUUUUGGGGGGUCAAAUGAACACUUUACUGUCUCGUCAUUACGAUCCAAACAGAAGCUUCAAACCAUUCAAUAAUUUCAAAAUUCAUCUUUUGGGGGUAGAAAAGGGGGACAAGGACAUGCAGCAUUAUUAUAGAUAGAAAGAUUUCGUGUAAAUUAUAUAGAUAAUAUAACAUUUAUAACGUGUUUAUAUUAAAACAUGAUGACAGAGACAUUUACUUAUAUGGUUCUGAUGAUGAUAAAUUAUCAAGUUUCAUCUUCCAAUAUAAAGAAUAAAGUAAUUGUGUACGGAUAACGUUUCAUCAUCAUAUCAAAUAAAACAAACAAACCAUCGGAUCUUGGUAUUACUGUACAUAUUAUCAUUAUUUAUUAGUUAAAAAAAAAAUCAAAUUAGCUAUACACACUUUAUGUUGUAUACCCAUUAUGUGCCUGACUUGACAGGGAAAAUAUGAUAUCCAUUGAACAAUUAAAUCGUUUCAUUUUGUAAACAGACUAUUACUCCGCAUACCCAUUGAAUUAAGGUGUCAAUAUUAAUUACAACGUCUAACCAAACAACUAAAAAAAAUUACUUACAUAAAAAAAUCAGCAUGUAAGCUUCACGCGUGUAAUUAUAUAAAAAGAAUUAGUCGUUCAAAGUAUGAACAUAAUAUAGUCUUAAGUUCUUUUAGGCAUAUCCUCUUCAGAAUCUAAAAUUUGAGGUUCCUUUUGUCCUUCUUUUAACCUCUUUAUGUACAUGCUAUAUAAAUAUUAUAUCACCUUACCGAUGCAUGCACCAUUUUGACCUUAUAGGUAUGUGAUGCACAGCAUAUUGCAAAUCCUAUUAUUGGACGACGAGAGGAAAACAGCAAAAGAUCAACGAGUCACCUUUUAUGUUGUGAUGCACAUUUGUGUAACAAUGAUUAUAAGCUGCUGGGAACACUUAUACCAUCGCAUACAACAAGAAGUUAUCCUGUCCAAACAAGGCCUGUGGGUAUGUUUGUUUCACUAUUUGUUUCCUUUUAACAAGAAUAGUUCUAGAUACAAAAAGAUAAUAUUGUUCAUAGAUGAGAUUUACCUAAUCAAAAAUAAAACAAUGUGUUCCAAGCUCAGUUCAUAUAGUUUAAACGCCAGUGGCAAGUACAUUUACUCUGAAAAAAUAUGCCAAAAAAUAUCUAAAUGGUUUUUCAUUUCCUUUUGUUAGAUUUACCUAAUAAAAAAUAAAACGAUGUGUUCCAAACUCAGUUCAUAUAGUUCAAACGCCAGUGUCAAGUACAUUUACUAAAAAAAAGCCAAAAAAUAUGUAAAUGGUUUUUCAUUUCCUUUUGUUUAACAUUUUAAGACGAUGACUAUCCCUCAUCACAAUCUUAUAGUGUUUAUAUAUCUGAGCUGCAUGUGUAUGACUGUCCCCAGUCAGGAGCCUCUGGUCUUUGUAUUUUUUAUAAUUUUAGUUCAUUAAUAUGUUUUAGAGUUUAGUAAAACGUCAAUUUUUACUGAAAAAGUACACUUUUUUUGGUUAGGGUCAACUAAAACCUCUUGCGGGUAAGGGACCUUCUUGCUGUGUUGUAGACCAUUUGGUGGCCUACUGUCUCAUUGCUGGGAUUGUUGUCUUCUUGACACAUUUUGUACAGAAAAGUCCGGUAUGCUUGCGCACUUACAUUUCUGAAUAUCAAGAAACUUUGAAUUUUUUCAUUGUGAAACUUAUCAUGAACAAUUACCUGAUUUAUUUUGUACAAAUAAUAGGUACAACAAGUAGUUAUCCUGUCCAAACUCAACCUAAUG
RNAcentral lists this long non-coding RNA (4807 nucleotides) under Mytilus galloprovincialis (Mediterranean mussel). Lineage: Eukaryota; Metazoa; Mollusca; Bivalvia; Mytilida; Mytilidae. The record is from RNAcentral.